AUGCUCUUAACUUCGGAGCCAGGAGGGGCUCCCACUGCAAUAAGGCACAAUCUCAGGAGUGUCUGGAGAGAGGACAGCACCAUUAGGUGUGCUGAAUGCCGCCACUUUGGGUUCAGACAAGGAUUCUCACAGGGAUUUUUGAAUAAACUAAUGAAGUUUCAAACCACCUGAGAACUACAAGAUAUCCAUCUGGAAUGGAAAGAGGUAAAAAUGACCCUGAAGACUUUAGCAAUCCAACAACUACUGAAAUUUACAUAUAUUUUUACAUGUAAUGGGUAUAUUACAGAAGAGUUUGAAUAAAUAUCCAUAAGAGAGUUUACCAUAAUUGACCUUUUAUUUUAAAAAAUUACAGGGAGCGAUUUCCAGCAUAUCUUAUUUUAUAAAAGUACUGCCCAUAUCAAACAUUUUAUAUCACUGUUAAUUCCAUUGAAGAGCUGCCAUUUUUUUUAAAGUACUAAUUCCAAUUGAUGGGGUGCAUGCCCUUAAAAUAGAAAGUUUCCAUUUAUUCAAAUUUCAAAAUUAAGAUUACUGAGAAGUUUAUUGCUUUAUGGCUGGGAAAGAUGCUACUAGCACAUUUCAGGUAAAUAAUAUUCUUUGUUAAAAACUAUGAGGUCAUUCAGUUUAAAACUUUCAGGAUAAUUCACAGAAAAUAGAUAUAUUUCUUCAAAUUAUACAUUGAGGGGCUGGGCUAUUAGCUAUAGACAUUUAUAUGUGAAGCAGCUCUUUAAAGAAAUAAGCUACACAAACAGGCCUGUCUUGGUUUAAUACGCAUAAAUGAAAUUAAUAAAACCUGGAAGACCAAUACUGUUACGCUAUGUUCUGUUAGGACCUUUUUAAAAAAUCACACAUUUAGUAGUCCAUUUGUGCUUAAAAUAUUCAUAUGCAUGAGAAGCUUAAAGAAAAAAAUACCCCUGUACAUGAUGAUGAAAAGAAAGUAAUAAAUUUUUUGAAAUUGCACUGUUAUUUAAAACACUUUCCUAAAUUCAGACCCUCCUUUGCA
RNAcentral lists this long non-coding RNA (1000 nucleotides) under Sus scrofa (pig). Its description in RNAcentral is "lncRNA (ENSSSCG00005018794.1)". Lineage: Eukaryota; Metazoa; Chordata; Mammalia; Artiodactyla; Suidae. The record is from RNAcentral.